CAGCCGCCGCGGUAAUACGAAGGGUGCAAGCGUUAAUCGGAAUUACUGGGCGUAAAGCGUGCGUAGGCGGUUUGUUAAGUCUGUUGUGAAAUCCCCGGGCUCAACCUGGGAAUGGCAAUGGAUACUGGCAAGCUAGAGUGUGUCAGAGGAUGGUGGAAUUCCCGGUGUAGCGGUGAAAUGCGUAGAGAUCGGGAGGAACAUCAGUGGCGAAGGCGGCCAUCUGGGACAACACUGACGCUGAGGCACGAAAGCGUGGGGAGCAAACAGGAUUAGAUACCCCUGUAGUCCCUGUCUCUUAUAA
RNAcentral lists this ribosomal RNA (301 nucleotides) under uncultured bacterium. RNAcentral's name for it is "partial 16S ribosomal RNA". It matches the Rfam family "Bacterial small subunit ribosomal RNA", at positions 509 to 809 of the family's 1533-position model. The record is from RNAcentral.